GCUUUAUAAAAACUUUUAAUCACGUUCUAAUAUCAAGACGAGCUGAUUUAUUAUGUGGCCAGACCUGAAGAGUCUUUGGAGCGCUAGAACCAGAACGUUCGCUCUCUCAUUUUCUUCAAAGAAAAUUUCAGAUGAUGACCAGUUCAUAUUCAAUUCAAAUUCAAAUAUUUUUAUUCAAAAUAGGAUUUAAAAUCACUUAUUGAACGUCAAAAACUACCACCCAUUCAAAAGAGACUGCCUCAGACCUGAGAAGAAUGGGCGCAAGAUAAAAAUAAUAAUUUUUAAUACCCAGUAUUAUUAUACAAGGUGCGGAGACAAUUUCAGAUGAAGAACUCGCAAUAAUUUUUAAAACGCAGUAUCCCGAUACAAGGUGCGGCAAUGGAAGGAGUGACGAUUAAGACAGCAGACGAACAAAUGAUGCUUUUUGUGGUUAAAGCACUAACUUCAGGCAUUUGGACCUCCAAAGUUGGUUCAGACAACGUUCAGUUUCACCUGAAACUGAACGUUUUUUAGCAAGGAAAAUUAUACAGCGCCUCUAGCGGUUACUAACGUUUACUCGCUAUCGACUGUAAGUGAACGCACGUUUCGAUUGCAAACUUAUGGUAGGGGUACAAGUUCAGACAGAAGUUUGUUCCGGUUCUCGUCGACGCUAUCCCCAGAGAUGUUGACACAGCCAGUGUAAGAGAUACACAUUCUGCUGUCAUCUGCAUAGCAAUGCAUACCGCUGAUUUAAGUCAAGUCAUUUAAUAAUUCAUAAUUAACGUACCUAACUGUGUAAUAAAUUAAGGCUUAAUAAAGAACGGGGAUCCAUUUUU
Molecule: long non-coding RNA, 815 nt
Organism: Leptidea sinapis
Lineage: Eukaryota; Metazoa; Arthropoda; Insecta; Lepidoptera; Pieridae
Exons: 2
Source: RefSeq, a predicted model, not a curated record